AGAACGAACGCUGGCGGCAGGCUUAACACAUGCAAGUCGAACGCUCCGCAAGGGGAGUGGCAGACGGGUGAGUAACGCGUGGGAAUCUACCCAAUACUACGGAAUAGCUCCGGGAAACUGGAAUUAAUACCGUAUGUGCCCUACGGGGGAAAGAUUUAUCGGUAUUGGAUGAGCCCGCGUUGGAUUAGCUAGUUGGUGAGGUAACGGCCCACCAAGGCGACGAUCCAUAGCUGGUCUGAGAGGAUGAUCAGCCACACUGGGACUGAGACACGGCCCAGACUCCUACGGGAGGCAGCAGUGGGGAAUAUUGGACAAUGGGCGCAAGCCUGAUCCAGCCAUGCCGCGUGAGUGAUGAAGGCCUUAGGGUUGUAAAGCUCUUUCAGUGGGGAAGAUAAUGACGGUACCACAGAAGAAGCCCCGGCUAACUUCGUGCCAGCAGCCGC
This 443-nucleotide ribosomal RNA is filed under the name uncultured bacterium. RNAcentral describes it as "SSU rRNA". It matches the Rfam family "Bacterial small subunit ribosomal RNA", at positions 26 to 518 of the family's 1533-position model. The record is from RNAcentral.